Molecule: long non-coding RNA, 417 nt
Filed under: Homo sapiens (human)
Lineage: Eukaryota; Metazoa; Chordata; Mammalia; Primates; Hominidae
Description: non-protein coding lnc-CASK-9:1
Source: RNAcentral
GGGCACACCACCUAGACAACAAGGCACAGCGCCUUGGCCAGCUGCUGCACCCCAAGCACCUAUCCUGGGGGGCCUGUGCAGGAUCUGAUGAGGUCUGAAGAGCCCCCAAUUUGGGGGUCGGGUUAUGCACGGGGAGGGGACUCACUCUCCCAUGGGACCUCCUCAGAAGGUGGCUGCCUUCCACCAGGGAGCAGUGGGCAUAGCUAAUGUUUUCAAUUUUAUCUUUGAUCGCUGGAACUCAGGGGCAGGAGGAAGCUGAGAGUGUCCAGGGCUCCCCUCCCACUGUUUGUGGGUAAAGGGGUGUGGUGAGGAGGCAGAAAGGAAGGAUCUAGGUGAGAAAAGCACUCUGAUGAAAUUGACUAUUGUCAGCCCUUGUCAGCUGUGGUGUGCCAGGCAGAGGGUGUGUGUGCACGUCCC